GUUGCAGCUGGUUCCCAAGUAUUUGAAUCUUCUCCUACUAGGGUGGGACUACUCCAUUGAAACUAGAGGACACAAGCAAAUGGCCAUGCUGGCAAGAUAUCUAAAUCUAUAGCAAGUUUUAAACUGCAGGGGAUGUGGAGUUAAUAGUUGUGAUGGUGUAGUGAAAUGAUUCAUACGAGUUGGAGAGAAGAAGUGGUUUGCCACUCACCUGCUCCCUAGGAGAUACUUGCUACUCAAUAUGUGUCUGACUGCAUUCCGUUUGUGCUUCAUAUAACUUACCUAUUGCACAUUUUAUAGCCUACUAAAACCUUAAUCGAUGCUUGUAAAGGUCAAUAUUUUCCAUGUUUGCCUCUGGUCAUGAAUCAUGAUUUAAACAAGAAAUAUGAAAAAUAAAUGCUGAAGAACAUG
Hemicordylus capensis (graceful crag lizard) is the source of this 408-nucleotide long non-coding RNA. RefSeq lists it as uncharacterized. NCBI's taxonomy places the organism in Eukaryota, Metazoa, Chordata, Lepidosauria, Squamata, Cordylidae. The record is from RefSeq and is a predicted model, not a curated record. The transcript has 2 exons.